GACGAACGCUGGCGGCGUGCUUAACACAUGCAAGUCGAACGGAAAGGCCCCCACUUUUUUGGUGGGGGUGCUCGAGUGGCGAACGGGUGAGUAACACGUGGGUGAUCUGCCCUGUACUUCGGGAUAAGCUUGGGAAACUGGGUCUAAUACCGGAUAGGACCAUGGUUUAGUGUCUCAUGGUGGAAAAAUUAUUGUUUUGGUGCAGGAUGAGCUCGCGGCCUAUCAGCUUGUUGGUGGGGUAAUGGCCUACCAAGGCGUCGACGGGUAGCCGGCCUGAGAGGGUGGACGGCCACAUUGGGACUGAGAUACGGCCCAGACUCCUACGGGAGGCAGCAGUGGGGAAUAUUGCACAAUGGGCGCAAGCCUGAUGCAGCGACGCCGCGUGGGGGAUGACGGCCUUCGGGUUGUAAACUCCUUUCGUUAGGGACGAAGCCGCACCUUUUUGGGGUGUGGUGACGGUACCUUUGUUAAGAAGCACCGGCUAACUACGUG
RNAcentral lists this ribosomal RNA (492 nucleotides) under uncultured bacterium. Its description in RNAcentral is "partial 16S ribosomal RNA". It matches the Rfam family "Bacterial small subunit ribosomal RNA", at positions 28 to 507 of the family's 1533-position model. The record is from RNAcentral.